RNAcentral lists this ribosomal RNA (855 nucleotides) under Escherichia coli. RNAcentral describes it as "partial 23S ribosomal RNA". It matches the Rfam family "Bacterial large subunit ribosomal RNA", at positions 1 to 899 of the family's 2925-position model. Lineage: Bacteria; Pseudomonadati; Pseudomonadota; Gammaproteobacteria; Enterobacterales; Enterobacteriaceae. The record is from RNAcentral.
GGUUAAGCGACUAAGCGUACACGGUGGAUGCCCUGGCAGUCAGAGGCGAUGAAGGACGUGCUAAUCUGCGAUAAGCGUCGGUAAGGUGAUAUGAACCGUUAUAACCGGCGAUUUCCGAAUGGGGAAACCCAGUGUGAUUCGUCACACUAUCAUUAACUGAAUCCAUAGGUUAAUGAGGCGAACCGGGGGAACUGAAACAUCUAAGUACCCCGAGGAAAAGAAAUCAACCGAGAUUCCCCCAGUAGCGGCGAGCGAACGGGGAGCAGCCCAGAGCCUGAAUCAGUGUGUGUGUUAGUGGAAGCGUCUGGAAAGGCGCGCGAUACAGGGUGACAGCCCCGUACACAAAAAUGCACAUGCUGUGAGCUCGAUGAGUAGGGCGGGACACGUGGUAUCCUGUCUGAAUAUGGGGGGACCAUCCUCCAAGGCUAAAUACUCCUGACUGACCGAUAGUGAACCAGUACCGUGAGGGAAAGGCGAAAAGAACCCCGGCGAGGGGAGUGAAAAAGAACCUGAAACCGUGUACGUACAAGCAGUGGGAGCCUCUUUAUGGGGUGACUGCGUACCUUUUGUAUAAUGGGUCAGCGACUUAUAUUCUGUAGCAAGGUUAACCGAAUAGGGGAGCCGAAGGGAAACCGAGUCUUAACUGGGCGUUAAGUUGCAGGGUAUAGACCCGAAACCCGGUGAUCUAGCCAUGGGCAGGUUGAAGGUUGGGUAACACUAACUGGAGGACCGAACCGACUAAUGUUGAAAAAUUAGCGGAUGACUUGUGGCUGGGGGUGAAAGGCCAAUCAAACCGGGAGAUAGCUGGUUCUCCCCGAAAGCUAUUUAGGUAGCGCCUCGUGAACUCAUCUCCGG